CCCAGUUGCUGCCUUAGCAAUAUAAAUUCAAUCAUAUUUCCUGAAUGAGUGAAGCAUUAGAAGUAAAUGCUGGAGGCCGGGCAUGGUGGCUCACGCCUGUAAUCCCAGCACUUUGGGAGGCCGAAGCAGGUUGAUCAACUGAGGUCAGGAGUUCGAGACUAGCCUGGCCAACAUGGUGAAACCCCAUCUCUACUAAAAAUAGAAAAAAAAUAGGCGGGCAUGGUGGCGGGCACCUGUAAU
RNAcentral lists this long non-coding RNA (240 nucleotides) under Homo sapiens (human). RNAcentral describes it as "non-protein coding lnc-CCNC-3:1". The record is from RNAcentral. Lineage: Eukaryota; Metazoa; Chordata; Mammalia; Primates; Hominidae.